RNAcentral lists this ribosomal RNA (1343 nucleotides) under uncultured bacterium. RNAcentral's name for it is "16S ribosomal RNA". It matches the Rfam family "Bacterial small subunit ribosomal RNA", at positions 28 to 1378 of the family's 1533-position model. The record is from RNAcentral.
GACGAACGCUGGCGGCGUGCUUAACACAUGCAAGUCGAACGGAAAGGCCCUGCUUUUGUGGGGUGCUCGAGUGGCGAACGGGUGAGUAACACGUGAGUAACCUGCCCUUGACUUUGGGAUAACUUCAGGAAACUGGGGCUAAUACCGGAUAGGAGCUCCUGCUGCAUGGUGGGGGUUGGAAAGUUUCGGCGGUUGGGGAUGGACUCGCGGCUUAUCAGCUUGUUGGUGGGGUAGUGGCUUACCAAGGCUUUGACGGGUAGCCGGCCUGAGAGGGUGACCGGCCACAUUGGGACUGAGAUACGGCCCAGACUCCUACGGGAGGCAGCAGUGGGGAAUAUUGCACAAUGGGCGGAGGCCUGAUGCAGCAACGCCGCGUGCGGGAUGACGGCCUUCGGGUUGUAAACCGCUUUCGCCUGUGACGAAGCGUGAGUGACGGUAAUGGGUAAAGAAGCACCGGCUAACUACGUGCCAGCAGCCGCGGUGAUACGUAGGGUGCGAGCGUUGUCCGGAUUUAUUGGGCGUAAAGGGCUCGUAGGUGGUUGAUCGCGUCGGAAGUGUAAUCUUGGGGCUUAACCCUGAGCGUGCUUUCGAUACGGGUUGACUUGAGGAAGGUAGGGGAGAAUGGAAUUCCUGGUGGAGCGGUGGAAUGCGCAGAUAUCAGGAGGAACACCAGUGGCGAAGGCGGUUCUCUGGGCCUUUCCUGACGCUGAGGAGCGAAAGCGUGGGGAGCGAACAGGCUUAGAUACCCUGGUAGUCCACGCUGUAAACGGUGGGUACUAGGUGUGGGGUCCAUUCCACGGGUUCCGUGCCGUAGCUAACGCUUUAAGUACCCCGCCUGGGGAGUACGGCCGCAAGGCUAAAACUCAAAGGAAUUGACGGGGCCCCGCACAAGCGGCGGAGCAUGCGGAUUAAUUCGAUGCAACGCGUAGAACCUUACCUGGGUUUGACAUGGAUCGGGAGCGCUCAGAGAUGGGUGUGCCUCUUUUGGGGUCGGUUCACAGGUGGUGCAUGGCUGUCGUCAGCUCGUGUCGUGAGAUGUUGGGUUAAGUCCCGCAACGAGCGCAACCCUUGUUCACUGUUGCCAGCACGUUAUGGUGGGGACUCAGUGGAGACCGCCGGGGUCAUCUCGGAGGAAGGUGGGGAUGACGUCAAGUCAUCAUGCCCCUUAUGUCCAGGGCUUCACGCAUGCUACAAUGGCUGGUACAGAGAGUGGCGAGCCUGUGAGGGUGAGCGAAUCUCGGAAAGCCGGUCUCAGUUCGGAUUGGGGUCUGCAACUCGACCUCAUGAAGUCGGAGUCGCUAGUAAUCGCAGAUCAGCAACGCUGCGGUGAAUACGUUCCCGGG